Eriocheir sinensis (Chinese mitten crab) is the source of this 665-nucleotide long non-coding RNA. RefSeq lists it as uncharacterized. The record is from RefSeq and is a predicted model, not a curated record. Lineage: Eukaryota; Metazoa; Arthropoda; Malacostraca; Decapoda; Varunidae. The transcript has 3 exons.
AAAAAUAAAAGGAAGAAAAUUGAGGGGAAAGGAAGAAAAAAGAUGGAAAAGAGAAUGAAGAAAAGGGGAAGACAGGUGAGAAGAAAAUAAAAAUAAAAGGAAGAAAAUUGAGGGGAAAGGAAGAAAAAAGAUGGAAAAGAGAAUGAAGAAAAAGGGGAAGACAGGUGAAAAUAAAAUAAAAUAAGGGAAAGGAAGAAAAUCGAGGAGAAUGAAGAGAAAGGGGGAAAGUUGAGAAGAAAAUUAAAAUAAGGGAAAGGAAGAAAAUCGAGGGUAAAGGAAGAAAACAGAUGGAAAAGAAAAUGAAGAAAAGGGGGAAGACAGGUGAGAAGAAAAUUAAAAUAAGGAAAAGGAAGAAAAUCGAAGGGCAUGAAAGGGGGGAAAGGUGAGAAGACAAGAAAAAAAUAAAAGGAAGAAAAUUGAGGGGAAAGGAAGACAAAAGAUGGAAAAGAGAAUGAAGAAAAGGGGGAAGACAGGUGAGAAGAAAAGAGAAAUAAAAGGAAGAAAAUUGAGGGGAAAGGAAGACAAAAGAUGGAAAAGAGAAUGAAGAAAAGGGGGAAGACAGGUCAGAAGAAAAGAGGAAUAAAAGAAAGAAAAUUGAGGGGAAAGGAAGACAAAAGAUGGAAAAGAGAAUGAAGAAAAGGGGGAAGACAGGUGAGAAGAAAAGA